CGGCGGACGGGUGAGUAACACGUGGAUAACCUACCUAUAAGACUGGGAUAACUUCGGGAAACCGGAGCUAAUACCGGAUAAUAUAUUGAACCGCAUGGUUCAAUAGUGAAAGACGGUUUUGCUGUCACUUAUAGAUGGGUCCGCGCCGCAUUAGCUAGUUGGUAAGGUAACGGCUUACCAAGGCGACGAUGCGUAGCCGACCUGAGAGGGUGAUCGGCCACACUGGAACUGAGACACGGUCCAG
Molecule: ribosomal RNA, 244 nt
Filed under: uncultured Staphylococcus sp.
Lineage: Bacteria; Bacillati; Bacillota; Bacilli; Caryophanales; Staphylococcaceae
Description: partial 16S ribosomal RNA
Rfam family: Bacterial small subunit ribosomal RNA
Source: RNAcentral